RNAcentral lists this long non-coding RNA (614 nucleotides) under Rattus norvegicus (Norway rat). RNAcentral describes it as "long non-coding RNA NONRATT019549". The record is from RNAcentral. Lineage: Eukaryota; Metazoa; Chordata; Mammalia; Rodentia; Muridae.
AGAAAAAGUAUGACCUGCAGCGGCAUGAAGAUGAGCUAAGAAAUGUGGGGCCAGUAGAUGCACAGGUACACCUUGAAGAGAUGUCCUGGAACAAAGAGAGAAAUGCACCAAAAAACUUCCGGUGGUGUUGUGGCGGCUUCUUGCACUUCCUCGGACUCAGGCCAGCUGGCAGAGCCUUGUGGGUGGACCUGUCAUUGCCAAUUUGUAAACGCUGUUUAUGAGGAGUCUUUCUCUCUGAGCUGUCGAUGUGGUGGGAAGUACACUGUCUACAAAGAUGAAGCACAAGAAGCAAACCUUAUUUCCUGUGAUACGUGCUCACUGAUUGUGGAACUCCUUCAUCAGAGCUGAGCUGAGUGUUCAUCCCUGGGGUGCUUUAACUACAAGGAGAAGGAUGCUUUUUGUUAUUAGCUGUAUAAUUUGUGAAGAUGAUGAAAUCUUCAAGCAAAGACCACCAGAUUAACAAAUAAAUUCAGUUGUUUAUAUAUCUAAAAUGUAAAUUAUAGGAUAUUACAAAAAAGGACUUGAGUAAUAUUUUUGCAUUCUUAGCUAACAACUUUUGUUUUCUCUUUGGUACAAACCGAUUAUUUGCCUUUUGAAAUAUAAGUAUCUUUUUC